This 792-nucleotide ribosomal RNA is filed under the name SAR202 cluster bacterium. RNAcentral's name for it is "partial 23S ribosomal RNA". It matches the Rfam family "Bacterial large subunit ribosomal RNA", at positions 1 to 764 of the family's 2925-position model. The record is from RNAcentral. Lineage: Bacteria; Bacillati; Chloroflexota; Dehalococcoidia.
GGUCAAGUUAGUAAGGGUCCACGGUGGAUGCCUUGGGGCCAAGAGCCGAAGAAGGGCGUGGCAAGACUGCGAAAAGCCUCGGUCAGCUGUCUAGUGAGCUUAGCCGAGGAUUCCCGAAUUGGGAAACCUCUACCGGGUCAUACCGGUAGACCCGCUGUGAAGCGGGGGGUAAGUGGGUGAACUGAAACAUCUAAGUAACCUGAGGAAAAUAAAUCAACCGAGAUUCCCCUAGUAGUGGCGAACGAACGGGGAAGAGCCCAAACCGAUCGGGCUUAGUGGAAUGAGGUCCUAUGUCCGGUCGGGGUUGUAACACACGCCUGCUCCAACCUCAUAAAGUGAGCAGAGAGUCAGAAAAUCGUUCCUUAGCCAAAUGUUCCUGGAAUGGACAACCGUAGAAGGUGAUAGUCCUGUAGGCGAAAGGGAGCGGUCUCUCGGCGUGUUGUUGAGUACCACGGGACACGUGAAAUCUUGUGGGAAGCUGGGGGGACCACCCUCCAAGGCUAAAUACUCUUGGCCACCGAUAGUGAACCAGUACCGUGAGGGAAAGGUGAAAAGUACCCCAGAUGGGGAGUGAAAUAGACCUGAAACCGUGGACUUACAAGCCGUGGAAGGCUGUAUUCGUACAGCUAACUGCGUGCCUUUUGAAGAAUGAGCCGGCGAGUUAAUCUAUGCAGCUUGGUUAAGGAUCAUGAGGUCCGGAGCCGAAGCGAAAGCGAGUCCGAAUAGGGCGUGCCGCGGGCGGCGGCAAAUCCUGCGGAGGAAGACCGAGAUGACGCAAACCUUGUGCCAGAG